CGGCAAGGGUGAUAACGUCUACGCGCUUCGCUUCAAGAUGUACCUUCAUCGUGAGGUGAUCCUCCUCCAUCAAUAUGCAGAACUACUUCGGUGCCUCCUCCACCGAGGGGUGGGGGAUGACGUCGACCCCAUCGACGGCGGCACCCGCCAUCUCCAACCCAAAGCCGGUUGGAUCAACCGCCAAGAUUGCCUCCUUUGAGCGUGUGGCUCCCCCUCCUCUUCUGAGGUCAGAGGAAGGUCAGUCGUAAUGCGGGGCAUGGGCCUGGCCUCCACGGUGCGACCUCUGGGCACGACGCUCCGACGUCAAAAGCUUGUAGUACGCGAUCUUCGUGCGCCCCAGGCUCAUGCGAGGAGGAUGGCUCGUAGGGGGAGUCUGGAUGGAACUGCACACGCACACUCAUGCAGUGGAGUGAGUCUCCGCAACAUCGGUAGGUGGCCAAACAUCUAGAGCAGGAGUAGAAAAAUCCAAAGGGAUCACGGGAUGAAUCUGAACAGACUUCACGGGCUAGAGCGGACAAACCUCUGUCACUAACAACCGGGAAUUUGACCUCUCACUGGCGAGAGGGAUUGUGC
RNAcentral lists this long non-coding RNA (573 nucleotides) under Triticum aestivum (bread wheat). RNAcentral describes it as "long non-coding RNA (TAES_LNC017847)". The record is from RNAcentral. Lineage: Eukaryota; Viridiplantae; Streptophyta; Magnoliopsida; Poales; Poaceae.